RNAcentral lists this long non-coding RNA (381 nucleotides) under Sus scrofa (pig). RNAcentral describes it as "lncRNA (ENSSSCG00070012057.1)". Lineage: Eukaryota; Metazoa; Chordata; Mammalia; Artiodactyla; Suidae. The record is from RNAcentral.
AUGCACGCAACCUCAGGAGAAGCAAGGUUGCUGCCUGGGAAGGGGUAUGGUACAGACAAGCCAGGGGCCAGGAGGAGUCUGAAGCUACAUACCAAGAGGAAUCUGCAAGCCCAGUGGUGGCAUCUCUGCAAGGCUGUCUGUGUUCACAGUGAAGCAGAGCCUGAACAGAGUCAAGAACGGCCUAGCUACCCUUGCAGGGUUGGCCAGAGUGGCCAAGUUGGUGAGGGGCCCUGCCGAAGGUGCCUGGCUGUUCUGCGGGCUGGACUAUUGCUGGUGAUGAGGAUAUUGGCAUACGGAUGCUGCUGCCGCUGCCGCUGCCGCUGCCGCUGCCGCUGCCGCUGCCGCUGCUAUUGUUGCUAUGGAUGACAGUGAUGAUGGCGG